GACGUAGGAGGCGAGCGUUGUCCGGAUUCAUUGGGCGUAAAGAGCACGCAGGCGGUUUGGCAAGUCGGACGUGAAAAUCCGGGGCUCAACCCCGGACCUGCAUCCGAAACUGCCCGACUAGAGGUAGGUAGGGGAGAUCGGAAUUCCUGGUGUAGCGGUGAAAUGCGCAGAUAUCGAGAGGAACACCUGCGGCGAAGGCGGGUUGCUGGGCUGACACUGACGCUGAGGCGCGAAAGCUAGGGGAGCGAACGGG
RNAcentral lists this ribosomal RNA (253 nucleotides) under uncultured bacterium. Its description in RNAcentral is "partial 16S ribosomal RNA". It matches the Rfam family "Bacterial small subunit ribosomal RNA", at positions 524 to 776 of the family's 1533-position model. The record is from RNAcentral.